Molecule: RNase P RNA, 383 nt
Filed under: Mucilaginibacter hurinus
Lineage: Bacteria; Pseudomonadati; Bacteroidota; Sphingobacteriia; Sphingobacteriales; Sphingobacteriaceae
Description: Bacterial RNase P class A
Rfam family: Bacterial RNase P class A
About the family: Ribonuclease P (RNase P) is a ubiquitous endoribonuclease, found in archaea, bacteria and eukarya as well as chloroplasts and mitochondria. Its best characterised activity is the generation of mature 5'-ends of tRNAs by cleaving the 5'-leader elements of precursor-tRNAs.
Source: Rfam by way of RNAcentral
GACGCAAAACGUUCUAUCGCUAUCCCGAUUUGUCGGGAGGGAGGAAAGUCCGGGCAACGCAGAGCAUCCUGCUUCCUAACCGGAAGGCGCCGACAGCCGGCGACAGCCAGUGCCACAGAAAAUAUACCGCCCCAACUUGUUGGGGUAAGGGUGAAAACGUGAGGUAAGAGCUCACGGCGAUUACGGGCGACCGUAGUGGCGGUAAACCUCAGGAGUUGAAAAACCAAAUAGGUCCCGGAAGUGGAGUGGCUCGCUCCCGUAUAACGAUUUAUCGUAUCGCCGGGAUGGGUAGGUUGCUAAAGCCUGUCAGCAAUGGCAGGCGCAGAUUAAUGAUAGAAGUCGCUUAAGCGAUACAGAACCCGGCUUACAGAUUUGCUGCUGAU